UGUUACGUCACACAAGGACGCUACAUCAGCUUUUUUUUUACAACUCAGAAGCUUAGCUGCCUUUUUCCGUUAAAGUCAAAGCAUUUAACGGUUUUUUUAACUGUGUUAGAAAAGUCAAGUACAGAGAGUUGACUGUGAGAAAAAAAGUUCAGUGACCCAUUUGUAAGUUGACAUAAAGUACAGUAACUUAGAAUGCAUUUAACCC
This 205-nucleotide long non-coding RNA is filed under the name Panax ginseng (ginseng). Its description in RNAcentral is "long non-coding RNA (PGIN_LNC013362)". Lineage: Eukaryota; Viridiplantae; Streptophyta; Magnoliopsida; Apiales; Araliaceae. The record is from RNAcentral.